RNAcentral lists this long non-coding RNA (209 nucleotides) under Gossypium raimondii (Peruvian cotton). RNAcentral's name for it is "long non-coding RNA (GRAI_LNC006051)". Lineage: Eukaryota; Viridiplantae; Streptophyta; Magnoliopsida; Malvales; Malvaceae. The record is from RNAcentral.
AAUAAUAGUUUAUUUUAAAAUUGAUUAAACUAUAAAAAUGAACCGUUUCGAGAAAUAAGGGUAAUUGUAUUUUAUCACAAUGUCUAGAAUUACUCAUAUAUCCUCUUUAACCCAUAAAUAAGAAGAUAAUACACGUUAGCGCAUUCGAACCCACGUUCUUCUGCAUUGGCAACAAUACACAUGCCAAUCGAAUUAAGACUCAAUCCACC